Molecule: ribosomal RNA, 491 nt
Filed under: uncultured bacterium
Lineage: Bacteria
Description: partial 16S ribosomal RNA
Rfam family: Bacterial small subunit ribosomal RNA
Source: RNAcentral
AGUGAACGCUGGCGGUAGGCCUAACACAUGCAAGUCGAACGGCAGCACAGUAAGAGCUUGCUCUACGGGUGGCGGGUGGCGGACGGGGGAGGAAUACAUCGGAAUCUACUUUUUCGGGGGGGAUAAAGUAGGGAAGCCUACGCUAAUUCCGCAUACGACCUACGGGUGAAAGCCAGGGAUUUUUGGAACUUGCGCGGUUGAAUGAGCCGAUGUUGGAUUAGCUAGUUGGCGGGGUAAAGGCCCACCAAGGCGACGAUCCGUAGCUGGUCUGAGAGGAUGAUCAGCCACACUGGAACUGAGACACGGUCCAGACCCCUACGGGAGGCAGCAGUGGGGAAUAUUGGACAAAGGGCGCAAGCCUGAUCCAGCCAUACCGCGUGGGUGAAGAAGGCCUUCGGGUUGUAAAGCCCUUUUGUUGGGAAAGAAAAGCAGCAGGUUAAUACCCCGCUGUUCUGACGGUACCCAAAGAAUAAGCACCGGCUAACUUCGUG